AUUGAACGCUGGCGGCAGGCCUAACACAUGCAAGUCGAACGGUAACAGGAAACAGCUUGCUGUUUCGCUGACGAGUGGCGGACGGGUGAGUAAUGUCUGGGAAACUGCCUGAUGGAGGGGGAUAACUACUGGAAACGGUAGCUAAUACCGCAUAACGUCGCAAGACCAAAGAGGGGGCCCUUCGGGCCUCUUGCCAUCGGAUGUGCCCAGAUGGGAUUAGCUUGUUGGUGGGGUAACGGCUCACCAAGGCGACGAUCCCUAGCUGGUCUGAGAGGAUGACCAGCCACACUGGAACUGAGACACGGUCCAGACUCCUACGGGAGGCAGCAGUGGGGAAUAUUGCACAAUGGGCGCAAGCCUGAUGCAGCCAUGCCGCGUGUAUGAAGAAGGCCUUCGGGUUGUAAAGUACUUUCAGUGGGGAGGAAGGGAGUAAAGUUAAUACCUUUACUCAUUGACGUUACCCGCAGAAGAAGCACCGGCUAACUCCGUGCCAGCAGCCGCAGUAA
This 506-nucleotide ribosomal RNA is filed under the name uncultured bacterium. RNAcentral describes it as "partial 16S ribosomal RNA". It matches the Rfam family "Bacterial small subunit ribosomal RNA", at positions 30 to 523 of the family's 1533-position model. The record is from RNAcentral.